UUCUGAAAAGUUGCACAGGGUUUUGCCUUGGAACGCUGCCCACUUAUUGCCAACUGACGAAGCUUCAUCGAGGCUUCGCUAUACUCUUGAGCUCCCAAAGCAGCAGCGACAAUCAAAGAUGAGCGCAACCCGAAGAGGAGAUGACCUUCACCAGAAC
Molecule: long non-coding RNA, 157 nt
Organism: Hippocampus zosterae (dwarf seahorse)
Lineage: Eukaryota; Metazoa; Chordata; Actinopteri; Syngnathiformes; Syngnathidae
Exons: 3
Source: RefSeq, a predicted model, not a curated record